Molecule: ribosomal RNA, 322 nt
Filed under: Enterobacter asburiae
Lineage: Bacteria; Pseudomonadati; Pseudomonadota; Gammaproteobacteria; Enterobacterales; Enterobacteriaceae
Also listed under: 2 other names
Description: partial 23S ribosomal RNA
Rfam family: Bacterial large subunit ribosomal RNA
Source: RNAcentral
GAGGCACUACGGUGCUGAAGUAACAAAUGCCCUGCUUCCAGGAAAAGCCUCUAAGCAUCAGGUAACAUCAAAUCGUACCCCAAACCGACACAGGUGGUCAGGUAGAGAAUACCAAGGCGCUUGAGAGAACUCGGGUGAAGGAACUAGGCAAAAUGGUGCCGUAACUUCGGGAGAAGGCACGCUGAUAUGUAGGUGAAGCCCCUGCGGGUGGAGCUGAAAUCAGUCGAAGAUACCAGCUGGCUGCAACUGUUUAUUAAAAACACAGCACUGUGCAAACACGAAAGUGGACGUAUACGGUGUGACGCCUGCCCGGUGCCGGAAG